AUGAGACAACAAACCUUGAAGUCAUAUAGGACACAAGGCUUUAAAAGAUGUUCCAACUUCAGGAGUAAGUUGCUCUUACUACAACCCUCAGCGAAUUAUUUUUCGGGAGGUUUUGGUGGAUUUUCCAAGUCAUGAUCCAAAACCGUCUUUGGCCUUUUUGCUCUCCUAGUCUGUUGUACAUGUAGAAUGCUUUGCCUUGCGAAAUGAAUGUUGAGUCGAAGUGCACUAUGAAUUUCAAACCAGUUGAGUUAUAUUUCACUUUGCUGUAUGUGUCGUGAUCAUGAAAUUC
Stylophora pistillata is the source of this 289-nucleotide long non-coding RNA. NCBI's taxonomy places the organism in Eukaryota, Metazoa, Cnidaria, Anthozoa, Scleractinia, Pocilloporidae. The record is from RefSeq and is a predicted model, not a curated record.